This 484-nucleotide ribosomal RNA is filed under the name uncultured bacterium. RNAcentral's name for it is "partial 16S ribosomal RNA". It matches the Rfam family "Bacterial small subunit ribosomal RNA", at positions 30 to 507 of the family's 1533-position model. The record is from RNAcentral.
AUUGAACGCUGGCGGCAGGCCUAACACAUGCAAGUCGAGCGGAUGAAGGGAGCUUGCUCCUGGAUUCAGCGGCGGACGGGUGAGUAAUGCCUAGGAAUCUGCCUGGUAGUGGGGGAUAACGUCCGGAAACGGGCGCUAAUACCGCAUACGUCCUGAGGGAGAAAGUGGGGGAUCUUCGGACCUCACGCUAUCAGAUGAGCCUAGGUCGGAUUAGCUAGUUGGUGGGGUAAAGGCCUACCAAGGCGACGAUCCGUAACUGGUCCGAGAGGAUGAUCAGUCACACUGGAACUGAGACACGGUCCAGACUCCUACGGGAGGCCGCAGUGGGGAAUAUUGGACAAAGGGCGAAAGCCUGAUCCAGCCAUGCCGCGUGUGUGAAGAAGGUCUUCGGAUUGUAAAGCACUUUAAGUUGGGAGGAAGGGCAGUAAGUUAAUACCUUGCUGUUUUGACGUUACCAACAGAAUAAGCACCGGCUAACUUCGUG